Molecule: ribosomal RNA, 451 nt
Filed under: uncultured bacterium
Lineage: Bacteria
Description: bacterial SSU rRNA
Rfam family: Bacterial small subunit ribosomal RNA
Source: RNAcentral
UACGGGAGGCAGCAGUGGGGAAUAUUGCACAAUGGGCGCAAGCCUGAUGCAGCCAUGCCGCGUGUAUGAAGAAGGCCUUCGGGUUGUAAAGUACUUUCAGUCGUGAGGAAGGUGUUAAGGUUAAUAACCUUAGCAAUUGACGUUAGCGACAGAAGAAGCACCGGCUAACUCCGUGCCAGCAGCCGCGGUAAUACGGAGGGUGCGAGCGUUAAUCGGAAUUACUGGGCGUAAAGGGCACGCAGGCGGUUAAUUAAGUUGGAUGUGAAUCCCCGGGCUUAACCUGGGAAUGGCAUUCAAGACUGGUUAGCUAGAGUCUUGUAGAGGGGGUAGAAUUCCAUGUGUAGCGGUGAAAUGCGUAGAGAUGUGGAGGAAUACCGGUGGCGAAGGCGGCCCCUGGGACAAGACUGACGCUCAUGUGCGAAAGCGUGGGGAGCAAACAGGAUUAGAUACC